RNAcentral lists this ribosomal RNA (1497 nucleotides) under uncultured Bordetella sp. Its description in RNAcentral is "partial 16S-23S ribosomal RNA intergenic spacer". It matches the Rfam family "Bacterial small subunit ribosomal RNA". The record is from RNAcentral. Lineage: Bacteria; Pseudomonadati; Pseudomonadota; Betaproteobacteria; Burkholderiales; Alcaligenaceae.
GAGUUUGAUUAUGGCUCAGAUUGAACGCUGGCAGGAUGCUGCUUUACACAUGCAAGUCGAACGGCAGCACGGACUUCGGUCUGGUGGCGAGUGGCAGACGGGUGAGUAAUGUAUCCGGAACGUGCCUAGUAGCGGGGAUAACUACGCGAAAGCGUAGCUAAUGCCGCAUACGCCCUUCGGGGGAAAGCGGGGGACGCCGGGACUCGCACUAUUAGAGCGGCCGAUAUCGGAUUAGCUAGUUGGUGGGGUAACGGCUCACCAAGGCGACGAUCCGUAGCUGGUUUGAGAGGACGACCAACCACACUGGGACUGAGACACGGCCCAGACUCCUGCAGGAGGCAGCAGUGGGGAAUUUUGGACAAUGGGAAACCCUGAUCCCAGCCAUCCCGCGUGUGCGAUGAAGGCCUUCAGGUUGCUAAAGCACUUUUGGCAGGAAAGAAACGACACGGGAUAAUACCCCGUCAACUGACAGUACCUGCAGAAUAAGCACCGGCUAACUACGAUGCCAGCAGCCGCGGUAAUACGUAGGGUGCAAGCGUUAAUCGGAAUUACUGGGCGUAAAGCGUGCGCAGGCGGUUCGGAAGAAGAUGUGAAAUCCAGAGCUUAACUUUGGAACUGCACAUUUUUUUAACUACCGAGCUAGAGUGUGUCAGAGGGAGGUGGAAUUCCGCGAUAACAGUGAAAUGGUAGAUAUGCGGAGGAACACCGAUAGCGAAGGCAGCCUCCUGGGACACUGACGCUCAUGCACGAAAGCGUGGGGAGCAAACAGGAUUAGAUACCCUGGUAGUCCACGCCCUAAACGAUGUCAACUAGCUGUUGGGGCCUUCGGGCCUUGGUAGCGCAGCUAACGCGUGAAGUUGACCGCCUACAGAGUACGGUCGCAAAGGAAUUAAAACUCAAAGAGAUUGACGGGGACCCCGCACAAGCGGUGGAUGAUGUGGAUUAAUUCGAUGCAGCACUUGAAAAACCUUACCUACCCUUGACAUGUCUGGAAUCCCGAAGAGAUUCGGGAGUGCUCGCAAAAGAGAACCGGAACACAGGUGCUGCAUGGCUGUCGUCAGCUCGUGUCGUGAGAUGUUGGGUUAAGUCCCGCAACGAGCGCAGCCCUUGUCAUUAGUUGCUACGAAGAGGGCACUCUAAUGAGACUGCCGGUGACAAACCGGAGAAGGUGGGGAUGACGUCAAGUCCUCAUGGCCCUUAUGGGUAGGGCUUCACACGUCAUACAAUGGUCAGGACCAAGAGAGGUCGCCAACCCGCGAGGGGAGCCAAUCCAGAAACCCGAUCGUAGUCCGGAUCGCAGUCUGCAACUCGACUGCGUGAAGUCAGAAUCAUAGUAAUCGCGGAUCAGCAUGUCGCGGUGAAUACGUUCCAGGUCUUGUACACACCGCCCGUCACACCAUGGGAGUGGGUUUUACCAGAAGUAGUUAGCAGCCUAACCGUAAGGAGGGCGAUUACCACGGUAGGAUUCAUGACUGGGGGUGAAGUCGUAACGGGUAA